ACCCCAAUGAGCUUUUGACC
This 20-nucleotide microRNA is filed under the name Bos taurus (domestic cattle). Its description in RNAcentral is "bta-miR-2284h-3p". Lineage: Eukaryota; Metazoa; Chordata; Mammalia; Artiodactyla; Bovidae. The record is from miRBase by way of RNAcentral.